RNAcentral lists this long non-coding RNA (291 nucleotides) under Homo sapiens (human). RNAcentral's name for it is "HSALNT0334256". The record is from RNAcentral. Lineage: Eukaryota; Metazoa; Chordata; Mammalia; Primates; Hominidae.
GUUGGGCGAGAAACGAAGGGAAGGGGAGAGGGUCUGAAGGGACCUGAAAGGAGAAGGGCAAGACGAUGGAACCUGGAAGAGGGUUGAGGGGAGGGGAAGGGGCCAGGGGGACCACUGGGGACAAGGGGGAGAGAACUGAAGGGAAACACGCGGAGGAGCGGGGCUGGGAGACCACAGGGAGAGUUUGGGGAGACCUGGGAACUGCGGAGAGACAGGGCUGCGGGCCCGGCGAGGCGUUUCCAUUCAGCGAAUGGUUGAAAACCCAGCGUAAACGCGGCUCCCGGCGUCUGC